RNAcentral lists this ribosomal RNA (495 nucleotides) under uncultured bacterium. RNAcentral's name for it is "partial 16S ribosomal RNA". It matches the Rfam family "Bacterial small subunit ribosomal RNA", at positions 28 to 507 of the family's 1533-position model. The record is from RNAcentral.
GACGAACGCUGGCGGCGUGCCUAAUACAUGCAAGUAGAACGCUGAAGGAGGAGCUUGCUUCUCUGGAUGAGUUGCGAACGGGUGAGUAACGCGUAGGUAACCUGCCUGGUAGCGGGGGAUAACUAUUGGAAACGAUAGCUAAUACCGCAUAAGAGUAGAUGUUGCAUGACAUUUGCUUAAAAGGUGCAAUUGCAUCACUACCAGAUGGACCUGCGUUGUAUUAGCUAGUUGGUGGGGUAACGGCUUACCAAGGCGACGAUACAUAGCCGACCUGAGAGGGUGAUCGGCCACACUGGGACUGAGACACGGCCCAGACUCCUACGGGAGGCAGCAGUAGGGAAUCUUCGGCAAUGGACGGAAGUCUGACCGAGCAACGCCGCGUGAGUGAAGAAGGUUUUCGGAUCGUAAAGCUCUGGUGUAAGAGAAGAACGAGUGUGAGAGUGGAAAGUUCACACUGUGACGGUAUCUUACCAGAAAGGGACGGCUAACUACGUG